AGUCCAUGGUGCAGAUAUUUUUGCAUCAUCUCCUUGAAAUGCUCCCAUGCCUCGAGAAGUGAUUUUCCAUCCGUCUGCCUAAAGUAUGUGAUAUGGUUCCUUAGUUG
Lathyrus oleraceus (garden pea) is the source of this 107-nucleotide small nucleolar RNA. Lineage: Eukaryota; Viridiplantae; Streptophyta; Magnoliopsida; Fabales; Fabaceae. The record is from RefSeq and is a predicted model, not a curated record.